Molecule: ribosomal RNA, 924 nt
Filed under: Escherichia coli
Lineage: Bacteria; Pseudomonadati; Pseudomonadota; Gammaproteobacteria; Enterobacterales; Enterobacteriaceae
Description: partial 23S ribosomal RNA
Rfam family: Bacterial large subunit ribosomal RNA
Source: RNAcentral
GGGUUGUGAGGUUAAGCGACUAAGCGUACACGGUGGAUGCCCUGGCAGUCAGAGGCGAUGAAGGACGUGCUAAUCUGCGAUAAGCGUCGGUGAGGUGAUAUGAACCGUUAUAACCGGCGAUUUCCGAAUGGGGAAACCCAGUGUGUUUCGACACACUAUCAUUAACUGAAUCCAUAGGUUAAUGAGGCGAACCGGGGGAACUGAAACAUCUAAGUACCCCGAGGAAAAGAAAUCAACCGAGAUUCCCCCAGUAGCGGCGAGCGAACGGGGAGGAGCCCAGAGCCUGAAUCAGUGUGUGUGUUAGUGGAAGCGUCUGGAAAGGCGUGCGAUACAGGGUGACAGCCCCGUACACAAAAAUGCACAUAUUGUGAGCUCGAUGAGUAGGGCGGGACACGUGGUAUCCUGUCUGAAUAUGGGGGGACCAUCCUCCAAGGCUAAAUACUCCUGACUGACCGAUAGUGAACCAGUACCGUGAGGGAAAGGCGAAAAGAACCCCGGCGAGGGGAGUGAAAAAGAACCUGAAACCGUGUACGUACAAGCAGUGGGAGCCUCUUAAUGGGGUGACUGCGUACCUUUUGUAUAAUGGGUCAGCGACUUAUAUUCUGUAGCAAGGUUAACCGAAUAGGGGAGCCGAAGGGAAACCGAGUCUUAACUGGGCGUUAAGUUGCAGGGUAUAGACCCGAAACCCGGUGAUCUAGCCAUGGGCAGGUUGAAGGUUGGGUAACACUAACUGGAGGACCGAACCGACUAAUGUUGAAAAAUUAGCGGAUGACUUGUGGCUGGGGGUGAAAGGCCAAUCAAACCGGGAGAUAGCUGGUUCUCCCCGAAAGCUAUUUAGGUAGCGCCUCGUGAAUUCAUCUCCGGGGGUAGAGCACUGUUUCGGCAAGGGGGUCAUCCCGACUUACCAACCCGAUGCAAACUGCG